This 164-nucleotide ribosomal RNA is filed under the name Solanum dimorphispinum. Its description in RNAcentral is "5.8S ribosomal RNA". It matches the Rfam family "5.8S ribosomal RNA". From Rfam's summary of the family: 5.8S ribosomal RNA (5.8S rRNA) is a component of the large subunit of the eukaryotic ribosome. It is transcribed by RNA polymerase I as part of the 45S precursor that also contains 18S and 28S rRNA. Functionally, it is thought that 5.8S rRNA may be involved in ribosome translocation. Lineage: Eukaryota; Viridiplantae; Streptophyta; Magnoliopsida; Solanales; Solanaceae. The record is from RNAcentral.
AAAACGACUCUCGGCAACGGAUAUCUCGGCUCCCGCAUCGAUGAAGAACGUAGCGAAAUGCGAUACUUGGUGUGAAUUGCAGAAUCCCGUGAACCAUCGAGUCUUUGAACGCAAGUUGCGCCCGAAGCCGUCAGGCCGAGGGCACGUCUGCCUGGGCGUCACGC